Molecule: ribosomal RNA, 301 nt
Filed under: uncultured bacterium
Lineage: Bacteria
Description: partial 16S ribosomal RNA
Rfam family: Bacterial small subunit ribosomal RNA
Source: RNAcentral
CAGCCGCCGCGGUAAUACGUAGGGUGCGAGCGUUAAUCGGAAUUACUGGGCGUAAAGCGUGUGCAGGCGGUUGCGUAAGACAGGUGUGAAAUCCCCGGGCUUAACCUGGGAACUGCGCUUGUGACUGCACAGCUAGAGUAUGGCAGAGGGGGGUGGAAUUCCACGUGUAGCAGUGAAAUGCGUAGAGAUCGGGAGGAACAUCAGUGGCGAGGGCGGCCAUCUGGGACAACACUGACGCUGAGGCACGAAAGCGUGGGGAGCAAACAGGAUUAGAUACCCGAGUAGUCCCUGUCUCUUAUAC